RNAcentral lists this ribosomal RNA (2091 nucleotides) under Acinetobacter baumannii. RNAcentral describes it as "bacterial LSU rRNA". It matches the Rfam family "Bacterial large subunit ribosomal RNA", at positions 852 to 2925 of the family's 2925-position model. The record is from RNAcentral. Lineage: Bacteria; Pseudomonadati; Pseudomonadota; Gammaproteobacteria; Moraxellales; Moraxellaceae.
GUUCUCCCCGAAAGCUAUUUAGGUAGCGCCUCGGACGAAUACCAUAGGGGGUAGAGCACUGUUUCGGCUAGGGGGUCAUCCCGACUUACCAAACCGAUGCAAACUCCGAAUACCUAUGAGUACUAUCCGGGAGACAGACUGCGGGUGCUAACGUCCGUAGUCAAGAGGAAAACAAUCCAGACCGCCAGCUAAGGCCCCAAAAUCAUAGUUAAGUGGGAAACGAUGUGGGAAGGCAUAGACAGCUAGGAGGUUGGCUUAGAAGCAGCCACCCUUUAAAGAAAGCGUAAUAGCUCACUAGUCGAGUCGGCCUGCGCGGAAGAUGUAACGGGGCUAAAACUAUGUGCCGAAGCUGCGGAUUUGACAUUAGUCAAGUGGUAGGGGAGCGUUCUGUAAGCCGAUGAAGGUGUGUUGAGAAGCAUGCUGGAGGUAUCAGAAGUGCGAAUGCUGACGUGAGUAACGACAAAACGGGUGAAAAACCCGUUCGCCGAAAGACCAAGGGUUCCAGUCCAACGUUAAUCGGGGCUGGGUGAGUCGACCCCUAAGGCGAGGCCGAAAGGCGUAGUCGAUGGGAAAAUGGUUAAUAUUCCAUUACUUCUGUGUAAUGCGAUGAGAGGACGGAGAAGGCUAAAUCAGCCUGGCGUUGGUUGUCCAGGUGAAAGGAUGUAGGCAUGUAUCUUAGGCAAAUCCGGGGUACUCUAUGCUGAGAUCUGAUAGCAAGCUGUACUUGUACAGCGAAGUGGUUGAUGCCAUGCUUCCAGGAAAAGUCUCUAAGCUUCAGUUACACAGGAAUCGUACCCGAAACCGACACAGGUGGUCAGGUCGAGUAGACCAAGGCGCUUGAGAGAACUCUGCUGAAGGAACUAGGCAAAAUGGUACCGUAACUUCGGGAGAAGGUACGCUGUUGUUGGUGAUGGAACUCGCUUCCUGAGCUGACGACAGCCGCAGAAACCAGGCCGCUGCAACUGUUUAUUAAAAACAUAGCACUCUGCAAACACGAAAGUGGACGUAUAGGGUGUGAUGCCUGCCCGGUGCUGGAAGGUUAAUUGAUGGGGUUAGCGUAAGCGAAGCUCUUGAUCGAAGCCCCAGUAAACGGCGGCCGUAACUAUAACGGUCCUAAGGUAGCGAAAUUCCUUGUCGGGUAAGUUCCGACCUGCACGAAUGGCAUAAUGAUGGCGGCGCUGUCUCCAGCAGAGGCUCAGUGAAAUCGAAAUCGCUGUGAAGAUGCAGUGUACCCGCGGCUAGACGGAAAGACCCCGUGAACCUUUACUGCAGCUUGACACUGAACUUUGACCUUACUUGUGUAGGAUAGGUGGGAGGCUUUGAAGCUGGAACGCUAGUUCCAGUGGAGCCGUCCUUGAAAUACCACCCUGGUAAUGUUGAGGUUCUAACUCUGUCCCGUGAUCCGGGACGAGGACCGUGUCUGGUGGGUAGUUUGACUGGGGCGGUCUCCUCCUAAAGAGUAACGGAGGAGUACGAAGGUGCGCUCAGCGUGGUCGGAAAUCACGCGUAGAGUAUAAAGGCAAAAGCGCGCUUAACUGCGAGACCCACAAGUCGAGCAGGUACGAAAGUAGGUCUUAGUGAUCCGGUGGUUCUGUAUGGAAGGGCCAUCGCUCAACGGAUAAAAGGUACUCUGGGGAUAACAGGCUGAUACCGCCCAAGAGUUCAUAUCGACGGCGGUGUUUGGCACCUCGAUGUCGGCUCAUCUCAUCCUGGGGCUGAAGCAGGUCCCAAGGGUAUGGCUGUUCGCCAUUUAAAGAGGUACGCGAGCUGGGUUUAGAACGUCGUGAGACAGUUCGGUCCCUAUCUACCGUGGGCGCUGGAAAUUUGAGAGGAUCUGCUCCUAGUACGAGAGGACCAGAGUGGACGAACCUCUGGUGUACCGGUUGUGACGCCAGUCGCAUCGCCGGGUAGCUAUGUUCGGAAGGGAUAACCGCUGAAAGCAUCUAAGCGGGAAGCCUACCUCAAGAUAAGAUUUCCCUAGGACUUUAUGUCCUCUAAAGAGCCGUUCGAGACUAGGACGUUGAUAGGUUGGAUGUGGAAGCAUAGUGAUAUGUGAAGCUGACCAAUACUAAUUGCUCGUGAGGCUUGACU